CGGGAUGUAGCGCAGCUCGGUAGCGCGCUUCGUUCGGGACGAAGAAGUCGCCGGUUCAAAUCCGGCCAUCCCGACCA
RNAcentral lists this transfer RNA (77 nucleotides) under Candidatus Cloacimonadota bacterium. Its description in RNAcentral is "Candidatus Cloacimonetes bacterium (marine metagenome) tRNA-Pro". It matches the Rfam family "tRNA". Rfam says of the family: Transfer RNA (tRNA) molecules are approximately 80 nucleotides in length. Their secondary structure includes four short double-helical elements and three loops (D, anti-codon, and T loops). Lineage: Bacteria; Pseudomonadati; Candidatus Cloacimonadota. The record is from RNAcentral.